ACCCGUGCCGCUACGAUCUCCAGUAUACCUAUGAACAAGUAAUUUCCCACAAGAUUUACACUUAGCCUUAUCUUGUUCUCUUAGUUGAAUAAAAAAUUGCCAAACUAAUGAUGUUUCUGUACGUUUAAGAGGUUGUCUACUAAAAGUGAGAGUUUGUACGGGUGGGUGUGCCGGUUCAUCACCUAAGUUAUGAGCAGGACUGGUAGGUGUAUCAUCUAAAUCUACUGGAGCUUG
RNAcentral lists this long non-coding RNA (234 nucleotides) under Nicotiana benthamiana. RNAcentral's name for it is "long non-coding RNA (NBEN_LNC035149)". The record is from RNAcentral. Lineage: Eukaryota; Viridiplantae; Streptophyta; Magnoliopsida; Solanales; Solanaceae.